This 71-nucleotide transfer RNA is filed under the name Marmota monax (woodchuck). RNAcentral's name for it is "tRNA.Ala". The record is from RNAcentral. Lineage: Eukaryota; Metazoa; Chordata; Mammalia; Rodentia; Sciuridae.
GUGGCUGUAGCUCAGUGGUAGAUCACUUGCCUAGCAUGUGUGAGGCCCUGGGUUGGAUCCUCAGCACCACA